RNAcentral lists this ribosomal RNA (105 nucleotides) under Trypanosoma cruzi. Its description in RNAcentral is "partial 24S-alpha ribosomal RNA". Lineage: Eukaryota; Euglenozoa; Kinetoplastea; Trypanosomatida; Trypanosomatidae. The record is from RNAcentral.
AAGGUGCGUCGACAGUGUGGGGGAGUCUCUUCUUCUUUUCCCCUCUCUUUUAUUAGGGGGUGGUGUGGGAAGAAGAAGCCCCUUAGUGUUCGGCCAUUCUGAAAA